Molecule: long non-coding RNA, 763 nt
Filed under: Phasianus colchicus (ring-necked pheasant)
Lineage: Eukaryota; Metazoa; Chordata; Aves; Galliformes; Phasianidae
Description: lncRNA (ENSPCLG00000019025.1)
Source: RNAcentral
GGGAUGGGGUGAUGUGGGGAUGGUGUGACAUGGGGACAUGGGGAUGGGGUGACACACAGGCAGGGGACGUGGGGACAUGGGGACAUGGGGAUGGGGUGACGUGGGGAGGGAGUGACACAAACAGGCAGGGGACACGGGGACAGGGUGACACAGACAAGCAGGGGACAUGGGGAUGGGGUGACGUGGGGACAGGGUGACAUGAGGACCCAGGGGUGACACCAGGACAGGGUGACAUGAGGUGACACAAGGACAGGGUGACACGAGGACCCAGGGGUGACACGAGGUGACACAAAUGUGACACUCACUGGUGGGAAAUCGAUGAGCUUCUGGAAGGCGCGAAUGUAGAGCUCGUGCUGCGGGGUGACAAGAGUCACCAAGUGUCACCAAACGUCACCAAGUGUCACCAAAUGCCACCAAGAGUCACCACGUGUCCCCACAGUGCCCCCCCCAUGGUCCUCCCACAGCCACCUCAUUCCCCCCAGGAUGUCCUCACCCCCAGCCACGUCCUUCUGUCACCUUCGUGCCCCUAUGUCCCCAAAGCCACCCCCUCCCCAAAGCCACCAAUGUCCCCAAAGCCCCCAGUGUCCCCUCCUGGUGCCCCCAACACCCACCAUGACCCCCAUCCAACCCCCCACCCACCCACUCGGUGCCACCCCAACGCAGCCACCCUGUCCCCAAAGUGCCACCACCUCCCCAAAGCCACCAAUGUCCCCAAAGCCACCAAUGUGGCCACCCUGUCCCCAAAAUGCCACCACCUCCCCAA